Molecule: small nuclear RNA, 166 nt
Organism: Bombyx mandarina (wild silkworm)
Lineage: Eukaryota; Metazoa; Arthropoda; Insecta; Lepidoptera; Bombycidae
Source: RefSeq, a predicted model, not a curated record
AUACUUACCUGGCGUAUGGGAUACUGUGUACAUGCAGACAGUUCCCCCAGAGCGAGGCUGUUCCAUUGCACUCCGGAGUGGUUGACCCUUGCGAUUAUUUUUAUUUUUAUCAAUAAAAAAAUCAUAAUAAAAAAUAUUAAAAAAUGUAUACCCGAAUAAUUGUUUU